CCCGCGCCCGCUCGCCGCCUCGGCCACCCGCGAUGAUAGCGCAGGCGAGGGGCAAGGCUGAGAAGAGAGAAGAGAACGCGGCUGGCGGUGCUGCGGAUGAAGCCGGGUAGUACUUCAUGGACCCGAACCAGGUGAUGGAGAUGGCCUACCCCUACUGUCGCCGACGCUCGCUAAGCCGUGCCGGGCAUGCCGGCGUGGUUCUACUCCUGUGCUCCGAGGUUAUUGAUCUUGAGAUGGCUGCCUCAACUGAAAUUGUGCCCUUUAAAGACUUAUCCAUCUACACAAGACUGCAGGGUUGCUUGAAGCCUCUGUUAUCAUUGGGGCAAUCAUCGGAGGUGCCAUGGAUGAGCAAAUUAAGUGACUGAAAGUAUGCAAGGUCACAAUAAUGCUGUUGUUCCAAGUAGUUUGUAACAUGCUUGAUGUGAAAAUAGCAGGGAAAGACUACGCAAGUGACAAAAUCACAUACCCCAAGUUACUGAAGUUAGAGAUAUCUCAUGACUUUGCACAAAAGAUACAACGAAGCAGCUUACUGGUUUCACCAGGCAGGACCUCUAUUGCAUUAAACGAAUUAGAUCGCCUUUAUACACAGAACUAAGGUGAUGUUUACCAGCGUUUGUAAUUAUCUCAAUCAUAUUCUGUAGCUUUCUAUCUUGGUGUGUAAAGGGGAUAUUUAUCAGUGACACCUAAUCAUUAAUCCUAUGAAUGAUCGGUGAAAUGCUCCAAACA
Panicum virgatum (switchgrass) is the source of this 726-nucleotide long non-coding RNA. RefSeq lists it as uncharacterized. The transcript is spliced from 2 exons. NCBI's taxonomy places the organism in Eukaryota, Viridiplantae, Streptophyta, Magnoliopsida, Poales, Poaceae. The record is from RefSeq and is a predicted model, not a curated record.